This 1219-nucleotide ribosomal RNA is filed under the name human gut metagenome. RNAcentral describes it as "bacterial LSU rRNA". It matches the Rfam family "Bacterial large subunit ribosomal RNA", at positions 915 to 2149 of the family's 2925-position model. The record is from RNAcentral.
UGAUUGAGGGGUCCAUCCCGGAUUACCAAUAUCAGAUAAACUCCGAAUGCCAAUGAGAUAUAAUCGGCAGUCAGACUGCGAGUGCUAAGAUCCGUAGUCGAAAGGGAAACAGCCCAGACCACCAGCUAAGGUCCCAAAAUAUAUGUUAAGUGGAAAAGGAUGUGGGGUUGCACAGACAACUAGGAUGUUAGCUUAGAAGCAGCUAUUCAUUCAAAGAGUGCGUAAUAGCUCACUAGUCGAGUGACCCUGCGCCGAAAAUGUACCGGGGCUAAAACAUAUUACCGAAGCUGUGGAUACCUUUAUAGGUAUGGUAGGAGAGCGUUCUAUGUGCGAAGAAGGUGUACCGUGAGGAGUGCUGGAGCGCAUAGAAGUGAGAAUGCCGGUAUGAGUAGCGAAAGACAGGUGAGAAUCCUGUCCACCGUAAGACUAAGGUUUCCAGGGGAAGGCUCGUCCGCCCUGGGUUAGUCGGGACCUAAGGAGAGACCGAAAGGUGUAUCCGAUGGACAACAGGUUGAUAUUCCUGUACUAGAGUAUAUAGUGAUGGAGGGACGCAGUAGGCUAACUAAACCAGACGAUUGGAAGUGUCUGGCCAAGCAGUGAGGUGUGAUAUGAGUCAAAUGCUUAUAUCUAUAACAUUGAGCUGUGAUGGGGAGCGAAGUUUAGUAGCGAAGUUAGUGAUGUCACACUGCCGAGAAAAGCUUCUAGCGUUAAUUAUACUCUACCCGUACCGCAAACCGACACAGGUAGUCGAGGCGAGUAGCCUCAGGUGAGCGAGAGAACUCUCGUUAAGGAACUCGGCAAAAUGGCCCCGUAACUUCGGGAGAAGGGGCGCUGACUUAUGGUCAGCCGCAGUGAAUAGGCCCAAGCAACUGUUUAUCAAAAACACAGCUCUCUGCUAAAUCGUAAGAUGAUGUAUAGGGGGUGACGCCUGCCCGGUGCUGGAAGGUUAAGAGGAGUGCUUAGCGUAAGCGAAGGUAUGAAUUGAAGCCCCAGUAAACGGCGGCCGUAACUAUAACGGUCCUAAGGUAGCGAAAUUCCUUGUCGGGUAAGUUCCGACCCGCACGAAAGGCGUAAUGAUUUGGGCACUGUCUCAACGAGAGACUCGGUGAAAUUUUAGUACCUGUGAAGAUGCAGGUUACCCGCGACAGGACGGAAAGACCCCAUGGAGCUUUACUGCAGUUUGAUAUUGAGUAUCUGUACCACAUGUACAGGAUAGGUA